RNAcentral lists this transfer RNA (61 nucleotides) under Phaeomonas parva. It matches the Rfam family "tRNA", at positions 7 to 64 of the family's 71-position model. From Rfam's summary of the family: Transfer RNA (tRNA) molecules are approximately 80 nucleotides in length. Their secondary structure includes four short double-helical elements and three loops (D, anti-codon, and T loops). The record is from RNAcentral. Lineage: Eukaryota; Pinguiophyceae; Pinguiochrysidales; Pinguiochrysidaceae.
GGGUGGCGCAGCGGAAGCGUGCCAGGUUCAUAACCUGGAGGGCGGAGGAUCGAGACCUUCC